GAUGAACGCUGGCGGCGUGCCUAAUACAUGCAAGUCGAGCGAACAGACGAGGAGCUUGCUCCUCUGACGUUAGCGGCGGACGGGUGAGUAACACGUGGAUAACCUACCUAUAAGACUGGGAUAACUUCGGGACACCGGCGCUAAUACCGGAUAAUAUAUUGAACCGCAUGGUUCAAUAGUGAAAGACGGUUUUGCUGUCACUUAUAGAUGGAUCCGCGCCGCAUUAGAUAGUUGGUAAGGUAACGGCUUACCAAGGCGACGAUGCGUAGCCGACCUGAGAGAGUGGUCGGCCACACUGGAGCUGGGACACGGUCCAGACUCCUACGGGAGGCAGCAGUAGGGAAUCUUCCGCAAUGGGCGAGAGCCUGACGGAGCAGCGCCGCGUGAGUGAUGAAGGUCUUCGGAUCGUAAAACUCUGUUAUUAGGGGAAAACAAAUGUGUAAGUAACUGUGCACGUCUUGACGGUACCUAGUCAGAAAGCAACGGCUAACUACGUG
RNAcentral lists this ribosomal RNA (497 nucleotides) under uncultured bacterium. RNAcentral's name for it is "partial 16S ribosomal RNA". It matches the Rfam family "Bacterial small subunit ribosomal RNA", at positions 28 to 507 of the family's 1533-position model. The record is from RNAcentral.